CUCAGGACCGAAUGGAUUCCAAUCUAUUUGCUGCAUGACCCUCAUUCCUGUUGUGCCUUAAAUAAAGCCAGAUGUCAUUUGCGGCAGGAUCGUUCCAUCAGCCGACAGACGUGGCUCUUCCCCUGAUACUCUCCAUUGCAGGAGAUGAGUGACGCUUUGAGAAUCAAAAUCAGAUUUCUGCUGAUGUGAAGGUUUGGCCUGCUGGCCGUGGCCAAAUCAGACUCCACAGAAACGGGGUCAAAGGCUAUGAAGGAGCACGAAGCCAUUAAAGACCAGACACAAAACGGAGAAACCGGUCCUCCCUCGUCUCCCUGAGGUCCACUCUGUCACACAUCUUCAAGGUGGCACACACAGCCACGUUCCAGUCAAUUAAAGGCCAAUGCUGAGCCCUUCAAUCAAAAAGAAAGAAUUCCAUCUCCUCUCCUGGCUUCACGGCAACUACUGAAAACCGCGUCCCCUGGGGGACAUGAAGAAAUCAUCUAAUAGCUGUGUGUUUUAUUUCGUUAUUUUUUUAAAAUAGCAAUAUCAUUUUUAAUAGCUAUGUUUUAUAAUCUUGUUAUGUUCUCGUUACAUUAGAUUAUUGCUUAUUAUUUUUUUCCUGGUUGGGAAUCACAGUUUUGACUGCCUUAACUCAUGGCAACAAAACCCCAGGGCAAGUCUCUCUGAAACACA
RNAcentral lists this long non-coding RNA (672 nucleotides) under Suricata suricatta (meerkat). Its description in RNAcentral is "lncRNA (ENSSSUG00005005955.1)". Lineage: Eukaryota; Metazoa; Chordata; Mammalia; Carnivora; Herpestidae. The record is from RNAcentral.